Molecule: long non-coding RNA, 1163 nt
Organism: Oncorhynchus tshawytscha (Chinook salmon)
Lineage: Eukaryota; Metazoa; Chordata; Actinopteri; Salmoniformes; Salmonidae
Source: Ensembl
CUACGACAGGCCUGCAGUCACAACGACAUACAGUUCAAUUGACGUCCGCUUUCAUGAGAAGGCAAAAAUAGCCACGAGAUGCAGGGAGGAGAGGUGCUCUUAUCAGUCACAGAUAACAGCCAGAGCCAUGGUUUGGGGUGUCAGGGUGACCAUCAGCGUAAUCAUACACAUUUUGAUACAUAUUGUGAAGCAUCUGUAAACAAAUUGUUAUAUGAAUCAUUUAUUAACUGCACUGUAAUUUGUGUCCUGUCUCCAGAGUUGGUGGUGUGUGGAGAUUCCAAGGGAAACGUGGUUCAAGCAGCCACCAAACAUCAACUCCUGGAGCAGCAAGAAACCUGUAAGAGCUCUCCCUUUUCCUCUGAUGAAACUGAUGAUUGAUUUUCCCUAGGCACACAGUGACAGGAUCAGUGUACUGUGACUCAACAACAGCACGAUGAUCUCAGCAUCCCAUGACAAAACUGUGGGACAGAAACACCAAGAAACAGGUGUGUGUGUGGUUCUUGUUAUGGUCUUGGAGUUGAACCCACACUGCUCCAGUGAACUGGUGUGUGGCGAUGCACUGGGCGAGCUCUACUUCCUCUCCUGGAGAGAAUAACCACCCAGUGUACACACACAGUCCAUUUUAUACACACACUGCUCCAUAUACAUCCAAUCAUAAUUAACUAACUCUCACACGGAUAUGUCAGUACUACUGUAAUUGUAUGCAUAUUCUCUCAGGCAGCUCCAUCAAUGUUAUCUUCUACACACUAUCUAAUAUGCAUACUCUUUAUAUCUAAUACCUCUACUUAUAUAUGUACGUGCCUUAAAAACUCUAAGUGAAGAACCUCAAUGUAAAUCAGCUAUAGUGCAUAUUAUUUUAAGUUUACAUGAAACUAGAUUAUUGUCCUUGAUCCCCAGCUGUGUCAAACAAGUUAUUAAUAAACUUGUUUAUUUAAUAAAUACUAUACCACACUUUCAGAAUGGUUUCAUUAGGUUGUGUGGAUGACAACAGAGAUGGCAAUAUUUUAAAUGUUUAACAAUUUCCUGACACCUGUGUUCAAUUCUUUAUAAAGGCAUUGUUAGACUCGUAAGGAACCAUAACUUUGAAUAAUGGUUGAAUAAAGUGUUUUUGUAUUUUAUCACAGUGUGUUGUGCAUUAUACAUUUAAAUAGUGCAUUAUAAAU